RNAcentral lists this unclassified non-coding RNA (434 nucleotides) under fungal sp. Its description in RNAcentral is "partial internal transcribed spacer region". The stretch from base 1 to 46 matches the Rfam family "Eukaryotic small subunit ribosomal RNA", at positions 1786 to 1831 of the family's 1831-position model. Lineage: Eukaryota; Fungi. The record is from RNAcentral.
AAGUCGUAACAAGGUUUCCGUAGGUGAACCUGCGGAAGGAUCAUUAAUACAACAAUAAGCCUAUGAUGCCGGCGCUGCCCUAUGGGCGGGCAGAUGUCCGGAGGUUCACGCUUUAGCGGGUGUGAUAGCGGCCACAGAGAGGGGGCAGGCUGUACCGCCAUCGUGACGCACGUGGAUAAAAGGAGUGCGUCACCUGGUCGGUCGACCUCCUGCCUCCUAUAUAUCCGGUCCGGGGAUAUGCUCUCUGGUAUGAGGGGUUUAGAGACCCCCUUCACGCUACACAUGACUGAAUCCUUAUUAUAUUCGUACCUCUCGUUCUCCUUCGGUGGGGCAACCUGCCGUAGGAACUUUAUAAACCCUUUUUUUGCAUCUAGCAUUACCUGUUCUGAUACAAACAAUCGUUACAACUUUCAACAAUGGAUCUCUUGGCUCUG